AGCAGAACUGGCGAUGCGA
Molecule: small nuclear RNA, 19 nt
Filed under: Arabidopsis thaliana (thale cress)
Lineage: Eukaryota; Viridiplantae; Streptophyta; Magnoliopsida; Brassicales; Brassicaceae
Description: snRNA_11287
Source: RNAcentral